GACGAACGCUGGCGGCGUGCUUAACACAUGCAAGUCGAACGGAAAGGCCCUGCUUUUGUGGGGUGCUCGAGUGGCGAACGGGUGAGUAACACGUGAGUAACCUGCCCUUGACUUUGGGAUAACUUCAGGAAACUGGGGCUAAUACCGGAUAGGAGCUCCUGCUGCAUGGUGGGGGUUGGAAAGUUUCGGCGGUUGGGGAUGGACUCGCGGCUUAUCAGCUUGUUGGUGGGGUAGUGGCUUACCAAGGCUUUGACGGGUAGCCGGCCUGAGAGGGUGACCGGCCACAUUGGGGCUGAGGUACGGCCCAGACUCCUACGGGAGGGAGCAGUGGGGAUUAUUGCACAAUGGGCGGAAGCCUGAUGCAGCAACGCCGCGUGCGGGAUGACGGCCUUCGGGUUGUAAACCGCUUUCGCCUGUGACGAAGCGUGAGUGACGGUAAUGGGUAAAGAAGCACCGGCUAACUACGU
This 467-nucleotide ribosomal RNA is filed under the name uncultured bacterium. RNAcentral describes it as "partial 16S ribosomal RNA". It matches the Rfam family "Bacterial small subunit ribosomal RNA", at positions 28 to 506 of the family's 1533-position model. The record is from RNAcentral.